CCUACGGGGUGCAGCAGUGAGGAAUUUUGGUCAAUGGGCGGAAGCCUGAACCAGCCAAGUCGCGUGAGGGAUUAAGGCCCUGCGGGUCGUAAACCUCUUUUGCCGGGGAGCAGAGGUCCGGACGUGUCCGGGCCGGGAGAGUACCCGGAGAAAAAGCAUCGGCUAACUCCGUGCCAGCAGCCGCGGUAAUACGGGGGAUGCGAGCGUUAUCCGGAUUUAUUGGGUUUAAAGGUUCCGUAGUGGGGCAUUUAAGCCGGCGGUCAAAUGUCGGGGGUGAACCCCGGCCUGCCGUGGGAACUGGGUGGCUUGAGUGGGCGGGAAGUAGGCGGAAUGCGUGGUGUAGCGGUGAAAUGCAUAGAUAUCACGCAGAACCCCGAUUGCGAAGGCAGCAUGCCGGGGCCCUACUGACGCUGAGGCACGAAAGUGCGGGUAUCGAACAGGAUUAGAUACCCGUGUAGUC
This 460-nucleotide ribosomal RNA is filed under the name uncultured bacterium. RNAcentral's name for it is "partial 16S ribosomal RNA". It matches the Rfam family "Bacterial small subunit ribosomal RNA", at positions 338 to 795 of the family's 1533-position model. The record is from RNAcentral.